Molecule: long non-coding RNA, 1938 nt
Organism: Vespa velutina
Lineage: Eukaryota; Metazoa; Arthropoda; Insecta; Hymenoptera; Vespidae
Exons: 3
Source: RefSeq, a predicted model, not a curated record
UGUUGUUGGUAUAUACAAUUCGAUGAAAAAAAUAUAUUUAGAAACGAGUACGACGACGACGAGUACGACGACGACUACGACUACGACUACGAGGACGAUAGUAUAGGUCAAACGCAUAGUACGUAAGAAAGUUAAGGGAAAUACGUUUGAAAGGAAAGAGGAGUAUCUCAUCGAGUAGUGGGAAACGUAAAUAAACAUUCUAAGCGUUACAAGUUGGUUUAUAGGUUUCACUUUAGAGAACGGCUCAGUAUUCCUUUAUAUAACUAGUCGAACGAGAGACGCGUCGAAGGACACACGUAUAUAAUUCUCCGCUCUCCGCUUUUCGCAAUUUUUUUACUUGAUGAUAGAGGUACAUUCAUAUAGCCAUAUUAUCCUUUAUCCCGGUGUUAAAAUUUUUUUUCUACAAAUUUAUCAUUGUAACGUCAUCAACUAAUAUAGGCUUGCGGCUAAAGGAACGUUCGGUGAAGAAUUUUAGGGGGGUGGACAGGGCUGAGGCAUGGAAGAAAUGAAGAAUGAGGAAGAAUAAGAAGAAAGAGGAGGAGGAAGAAGAAGAAGAAGAAGAAGAAGAAAUGAGGGAGGCUAUCACCGCGACCCUUCGACCGUGUACUCGGCUUAAAGUUGAGUACACACAGUUUAAUCGACGCGAAAACGGUUUCUUUAUCCUUAGAAAAACGUUCGUUUUUUCUUUUCUUUUCUCUCUCUCUCUCUCUCUCUCUCUCUCUCUUCUUCUUCUCUUUUCUUAUUCUUUUUUUCUUUUUUUUCAUUUUCCUUCCCGGAGGAAAGUCAUUUACGUCUACACUGUUUACAGCCUAUUUUUUUUUUGUCUCCUUCCUUUCCGUUUUUUUUUCUUUCUUUCUUUUUUUCUUUCUUUUUUUCUUUCUUUCGGCCAUUUGUCUUACAAAGCCACUUCGUCCUUUAGUUUCUCGAUCGUUAAAGUAAAGAAAAUAGAAAUAUUUUGUUGCUAAGCGUAGUUUAGACAAGAGGGAAGAAAAAAAAUGUUCUCUCAUGAGUCGUCACAGUGGUGACAGAGUAAGAGGAUAAAGACGUAGGAGAAGGAGAGAGAGGAUAGUGGAAAGAGAGAGAGAGAGAGAGAGAGAGAGAGAGAAAGGAAAGAGAGGAGAAGAAGAAAACGUUCAUUGUCAUGAGGAGACGAUGCGUGGAAACCGAGUCAGUAGUGGUGUGAGAGUAAAUGGAGUUUACUGGGAGUGGACGGUAUUCCCUCAGCCUCUUUUCGAGGGUCAUCGUUUGUGCGAAACCGCUAAGUGGACUUUGCGGCACCGAUGUGAACCAUCGUUUAAAUCGACCGAUAAGAAUAACCACGAAAACGGUGAAAACGGAGAAAGUGAGACGAGACUCAUCCGUAGUGGAUGAAUUAGAACACGAUUCAUCCGUAAUUGGAAACCGUACGGCGGUCACUCGGGGCAUCUAAUUCCGGGUCCCAACCCGCAUACAGGUAAAAUAAUAUUCGGGAACACGUGCUGCGAAUACGAGACAUCCUCCUCGCAUCCUCCUGAAAAUCUAGGAGCUUGGUAUUAGAUUCCUGACAGCCUAGACGUCGAUAGGAUUUCAAGAAAGUUAGAGUGCGGCAUAAAAAAAAAAAAAAAAAAAAAAAAAAAAAAAAGAAAAAAAAAAAAAAAAAAAAAAAAACAAAGAAGGAAAAAAAAAAAAAACAAAAAAAAAAAAAAAGAAAAACUUUCUAGUUGUUAUUACGAUAGACUUUCCGUCUUCUCCGAGUAUUCUUUCCGUAAGACCGAUCGUGAGAGGCAUUAUGGCUGUACCAUGAAAUUUUCUUACGACGAAACUGAGAUUUUGGAGCGUUUAUAAUUUUUAUCGGUAUAAAAAAGAUCUUUAUAAUCUUUAAUGGCAAAAGAAAUUUUUAUUAGCUGUUAAAAAAAAAAAAAAAAAGAAAAAAAAAAAAAUCAAUCUUUUCAAUUACGA